Molecule: ribosomal RNA, 262 nt
Filed under: uncultured bacterium
Lineage: Bacteria
Description: partial 16S ribosomal RNA
Rfam family: Bacterial small subunit ribosomal RNA
Source: RNAcentral
UUAGUGGCGGACGGGUGAGUAACGCGUGGGUAACCUGCCUUACGCAGGGGGAUAACACUUAGAAAUAGGUGCUAAAACCGCAUAAGCGCACAGCUUCGCAUGAAGCGGUGUGAAAAACUCCGGUGGUGUAAGAUGGACCCGCGUCUGAUUAGCUUGUUGGCGGGGUAACGGCCCACCAAGGCGACGAUCAGUAGCCGGCCUGAGAGGGCGGACGGCCACAUUGGGACUGAGACACGGCCCAGACUCCUACGGGAGGCAGCAG